GGGCGUGUAGUAUAGUGGUUAUUGCGCCCGCUUUGCAUUUUCUCCUAACAUAUUCUUUGCGGGAGGUCUGGAGUUCGAUCCUCCACUCGUCCA
Non-coding RNA from Mycena sp. CBHHK59/15, 93 nucleotides. The record is from the annotation of a GenBank genome assembly. Lineage: Eukaryota; Fungi; Basidiomycota; Agaricomycetes; Agaricales; Mycenaceae.